UAAAAUGAAAUAUAGAAGGAAAAGUAAAGUACGUAACUAAACUAAGAAAAAAAUUAGUUUCCUCCCUCAUUUGGAUGAUUGGUGGGCGUAAGUGGAACCUCUUCUAUAAGAGAGGGAUCUUCAGGACUCUCAUCCCCUGCUAUUGAACCAUCUUCAUUGUCUUCAGUGUUAGGUGUAUCGGGAAUGAUUAAAUCUCCGGACCAUUUCCAUUCCUUUUGGAGAGUGCUCUAUUCUUCACCCUC
This 242-nucleotide long non-coding RNA is filed under the name Gossypium barbadense (sea-island cotton). Its description in RNAcentral is "long non-coding RNA (GBAR_LNC005186)". The record is from RNAcentral. Lineage: Eukaryota; Viridiplantae; Streptophyta; Magnoliopsida; Malvales; Malvaceae.